Molecule: ribosomal RNA, 500 nt
Filed under: uncultured bacterium
Lineage: Bacteria
Description: partial 16S ribosomal RNA
Rfam family: Bacterial small subunit ribosomal RNA
Source: RNAcentral
AUUGAACGCUGGCGGCAGGCUUAACACAUGCAAGUCGAGCGGAGCGAGGGUGCUUGCACCUUAGCUUAGCGGCGGACGGGUGAGUAAUGCUUAGGAAUCUGCCUAUUAGUGGGGGACAACAUUCCGAAAGGAAUGCUAAUACCGCAUACGCCCUACGGGGGAAAGCAGGGGAUCUUCGGACCUUGCGCUAAUAGAUGAGCCUAAGUCGGGUUAGCUAGUUGGUGGGGUAAAGGCCUACCAAGGCGACGAUCUGUAGCGGGUCUGAGAGGAUGGUGCGCCCAACUGGGACUGAGACACGGACCCGACUCCUACGGGAGGCAGCAGUGGGGAAUAUUGGACAAUGGGCGGAAGCCUGACCAGCCAUGCCGCGUGUGUGAAGAAGGCCUUUUGGUUGUAAAGCACUUUAAGCGAGGAGGAGGCUACUUAGAUUAAUACUCUGGGAUAGUGGACGUUACUCGCAGAAUAAGCACCGGCUAACUCUGUGCCAGCCGCCGCCGUAA